UCUGUCUUCACAUGCUUUACAGCAUAUCCCCCUUAUUUGGUCUGUCUUCACGGGCUUUACAACAUAUCCCCCCUUAUUUGGUCUGUCUUCACGGGCUUUACAGCAUAUCCCCCCUUAUUUGGUCUAUCUUUAUAGGCUUCACAGCAUAUCCCCCCUUAUUUGGUCUGUCUUCACAUGCUUUACAGCAUAUCCCCCUUCUUUGGUCUGUCUUCACAGGCUUUACAGCAUAUCCCCCUUAUUUGGUCUGUCUUCACAGGCUUUACAGCAUAUCCCCCUUAUUUGGUCUGUCUUUACAGGCUUUACAGCAUAUCCCCCUUAUUUGAUCUGUCUUCACAGGCUUUACAGCAUAUCCCCCCUUAUUUGGUCUGUCUUCACAUGCUUUACAGCAUAUCCCCCUUAUUUGGUCUGUCUUCACAUGCUUUACAACAUAUCCCCCUUAUUUAGUCUGUCUUUACAGGCUUUACAGCAUAUCCCCCUUAUUUGGUCUGUCUUUACAGGCUUUACAGCAUAUCCCCCUUAUUUGGUCUGUCUUUACAGGCUUUACAGCAUAUCCCCUUAUUUGGUCUGUCUUUACAGGCUUUACAGCAUAUCCCCCUUAUUUAGUCUGUCUUUACAGGCUUUACAGCAUAUCCCCUUAUUUGGUCUGUCUUUACAGGCUUUACAGCAUAUCCCCCUUAUUUGGUCUGUCUUCACAG
Long non-coding RNA from Oncorhynchus tshawytscha (Chinook salmon), 695 nucleotides. The record is from Ensembl. Lineage: Eukaryota; Metazoa; Chordata; Actinopteri; Salmoniformes; Salmonidae.